GCUUAUGGUUUCAUACCGCUAUCAUCAUGAUACUUUAUAACUAACACUACAGGAUUAUUUUCACUCUGAACCAUCACUCAGCACUACGGCCAGACUUGUAGUUAUUUCUCUGACAGGGGUUAUAUGGGGAGGUCUAUUGAUUCAAGACAAGCCAUGCUACCCCAGGUCACUACUUCUGGUUAAGUAGUUUGCCAGUAAACACACCUCAGGGAAUGCUACAGACUGACAUCUCCUGAAUGAAGAUCCCCUGCUAGCCUCAUCAAACAGCCAUCUAUUCCCGAUGUUACAGUUGUCCUUCUGGGCUCCUGACCUGCAUGAAAAGCUAUUCCUCUACAGUCUCACCAUGAUGGCCGUGAUGUGGGGCCAGUCAUCAACUGGAGAGUCACCAUUACACAGGUGUGCUGCAGAGUUCACUUCCACGGUAGCAAACACAAGGAGGACAGGUCACUUCAACUGACAUCUCCUGGAUCACACAUCAGUCUCUGAGUCAAAGAAGAGGCUGGCAGAGAGGAUUUAGUGUGCUACACAAAUGAGAAAAAUGAAGAGAGUGCGGGGACAAAAUAAAGUAUGUUCUGUUGGUAUUAGAGUUGGACCUGUCCACUGAAAUGGUCCAGUCCUCAUGCUGCAAAAAUAUGGGCUGGAGUACAGCCCCAACUCUACUAAGAAAUUCAUUGAAGGUCCAUAUAAAACCACCAUAUAAAAUUGUUUUACAAUGUAGACAAAUGGGUAAGUCUACCCCAGUAGAACUGCAAAUCCUAGUUAUAAAAACAGCUUUAAUGCCA
This is a long non-coding RNA of Esox lucius (northern pike), 782 nucleotides long. NCBI's taxonomy places the organism in Eukaryota, Metazoa, Chordata, Actinopteri, Esociformes, Esocidae. The record is from Ensembl.